RNAcentral lists this ribosomal RNA (484 nucleotides) under uncultured bacterium. RNAcentral describes it as "partial 16S ribosomal RNA". It matches the Rfam family "Bacterial small subunit ribosomal RNA", at positions 30 to 507 of the family's 1533-position model. The record is from RNAcentral.
AUUGAACGCUGGCGGCAUGCCUUACACAUGCAAGUCGAACGGCAGCGCGGGAGCAAUCCUGGCGGCGAGUGGCGAACGGGUGAGUAAUACAUCGGAACGUGCCCAAUCGUGGGGGAUAACGCAGCGAAAGCUGUGCUAAUACCGCAUACGAUCUACGGAUGAAAGCAGGGGAUCGCAAGACCUUGCGCGAAUGGAGCGGCCGAUGGCAGAUUGGGUAGUUGGUGAGGUAAAGGCUCACCAAGCCUUCGAUCUGUAGCUGGUCUGAGAGGACGACCAGCCACACUGGGACUGAGACACGGCCCAGACUCCUACGGGAGGUAGCAGUGGGGAAUUUUGGACAAUGGGCGAAAGCCUGAUCCAGCCAUGCCGCGUGCAGGAUGAAGGCCUUCGGGUUGUAAACUGCUUUUGUACGGAACGAAACGGUCUUUUCUAAUAAAGAAGGCUAAUGACGGUACCGUAAGAAUAAGCACCGGCUAACUACGUG